GGGCCGCACGCGCGCUACACUGACGGAGCCAGCGAGUAUUAACCUUGGCCGAGAGGUCUGGGAAAUCUUGUGAAACUCCGUCGUGCUGGGGAUAGAGCAUUGUAAUUAUUGCUCUUCAACGAGGAAUUCCUAGUAAGCGCAAGUCAUCAGCUUGCGUUGAUUACGUCCC
This 169-nucleotide ribosomal RNA is filed under the name Meyerozyma guilliermondii. Its description in RNAcentral is "partial 18S rRNA". It matches the Rfam family "Eukaryotic small subunit ribosomal RNA", at positions 1484 to 1653 of the family's 1831-position model. The record is from RNAcentral. Lineage: Eukaryota; Fungi; Ascomycota; Pichiomycetes; Serinales; Debaryomycetaceae. RNAcentral also lists the same sequence under 8 other names.